GACGAACGCUGGCGGCGUGCUUAACACAUGCAAGUCGAGCGGUAAGGCCCUUUCGGGGGUACACGAGCGGCGAACGGGUGAGUAACACGUGGGUGACCUGCCCUUAGCUCUGGGAUAAGCCUGGGAAACUGGGUCUAAUACCGGAUAUGACUCCAUGACGCAUGUUGUGGGGUGGAAAGCCUUGUGCGGCUAGGGAUGGGCCCGCGGCCUAUCAGCUUGUUGGUGGG
RNAcentral lists this ribosomal RNA (227 nucleotides) under uncultured bacterium. RNAcentral describes it as "partial 16S ribosomal RNA". It matches the Rfam family "Bacterial small subunit ribosomal RNA", at positions 28 to 256 of the family's 1533-position model. The record is from RNAcentral.